ACACACACACACUGACUGGGUGUGUGUGAGUGUGUGUGACUGGGAGUGCAAGUGAGCCACAGGGAACUUGGAGUGAAGAGGGUGAGUUGAUGGGUUUACACUGGAGUCGCCUCACUCACUACCUGUUACCUGCUGACCAGCCAAUAAGUCAGAAAGAAAACCCGAAGUCGAAAUAGAGCGAGCAGUGUUAGUCUACAGUACAAUCACCAAUGCAAACAGAAGGACAGGUGCCUGGUGAUGCUUCCUGUAAGUGCAUUGCUUGCGUCACUAGGACAAAUACACUUCUGGCAUUGCAACAAAAUACUCCCUGUUUCAGGUGAAGUCCUGCUACACCCGCAACACUGAAUCACUCAAGCACUGAAAAGAGGAGUGCAAACGGAAGGAUAAUUCGCGCACGUAUUAAAUGUGCGACUGCAUCUGUACCAAUGAACUGUACAAAAGCUAUUGGAAUCCAAAUGCUGCGUCUGGAGGAACCAUCACUCAACGAUUUUUUUUAAAAAUGUUUUCAUAAACAGCACAUGUAUUGCCCCGUAUAUUUUGCUUUACAUAAAGAGGCAUUAAUUUUAACUUGUGUGCUGCCCCUCAUUAAGCCACAAACGUGCACUACUUACAGUUCUGGUGACUCUUUGUCAUGUGGU
This is a long non-coding RNA of Callorhinchus milii (elephant shark), 638 nucleotides long. RefSeq lists it as uncharacterized. Lineage: Eukaryota; Metazoa; Chordata; Chondrichthyes; Chimaeriformes; Callorhinchidae. The transcript is spliced from 3 exons. The record is from RefSeq and is a predicted model, not a curated record.